ACGUAGGCAGCGAGCGUUGUUCGGAAUUACUGGGCGUAAAGAGUGUGUAGGUGGUGCUCUAAGUUCGGUGUGAAAUCUCCCGGCUCAACCGGGAGGGUGCGCCGAAUACUGAAUGACUAGAGUGCGGGAGAGGAAAGUGGAAUUCCUGGUGUAGCGGUGGAAUGCGUAGAUAUCAGGAGGAACACCGGUGGUGUAGACGGCUUUCUGGACCGUAACUGACGCUGAGACACGAAAGCGUGGGUAGCAAACAGGA
RNAcentral lists this ribosomal RNA (253 nucleotides) under uncultured prokaryote. Its description in RNAcentral is "partial 16S ribosomal RNA". It matches the Rfam family "Bacterial small subunit ribosomal RNA", at positions 525 to 777 of the family's 1533-position model. The record is from RNAcentral.